Molecule: ribosomal RNA, 508 nt
Filed under: uncultured bacterium
Lineage: Bacteria
Description: partial 16S ribosomal RNA
Rfam family: Bacterial small subunit ribosomal RNA
Source: RNAcentral
GACGAACGCUGGCGGCGUGCCUAAUACAUGCGAGUCGAACGCUUCUUUCCUCCCGAGUGCUUGCACUCAAUUGGAAAGAGGAGUGGCGGACGGGUGAGUAACACGUGGGUAACCUACCCAUCAGAGGGGGAUAACACUUGGAAACAGGUGCUAAUACCGCAUAACAGUUUAUGCCGCAUGGCAUAAGAGUGAAAGGCGCUUUCGGGUGUCGCUGAUGGAUGGACCCGCGGUGCAUUAGCUAGUUGGUGAGGUAACGGCUCACCAAGGCCACGAUGCAUAGCCGACCUGAGAGGGUGAGCGGCCACACUGGGACUGAGACACGGCCCAGACUCCUACGGGAGGCAGCAGUAGGGAAUCUUCGGCAAUGGACGAAAGUCUGACCGAGCAACGCCGCGUGAGUGAAGAAGGUUUUCGGAUCGUAAAACUCUGUUGUUAGAGAAGAACAAGGACGUUAGUAACUGAACGUCCCCUGACGGUAUCUAACCAGAAAGCCACGGCUAACUACGUG